UCUCGUGAAACAGUCAUUUUCCUUCCUGGACAGCAACGACUCGCCUGGACAGUGCCGAUCUCCAGGUCGGGCAUCACCCACUCGGUAGCAGCCACAGGGGGCAGGCUCGCUCCUCCUUCCCUGGCAGCAGGUGUGAUUUGGGGAGAAAUCUCCAGCAAUCCUUAUUUUCAUCCUUUCACAGGAGUCAUUUCCCCAACAAAACUCCUUUUUCGACUUUGCCUGACCUCCGGGGGGGUGGGGGGGGGAGGUGGUACUUUUAUAUUCGCCUUCGCAUCCUCCCUCAAUAGCCUGGUUUUCAUUUCCUGUGCUGAUGCUCUUCCAUAUGCAAUGACAUCCUGGAGGGAAAUGGAAGUAAAGAAGGAAGAAAAAAGGGAAAAAAGGAAAUAGAGACAGCAGCCCAUGGUAACUCUAAUUUAUGUGUGAAUUCCACCAUAUUAUGAAGAUAUUGAGCAGGGAAAGAAGAGAAGAACGAGAAGGAGCAAAGGAGAAAGAGCCAAUGAAGAAGAGAUGAUAAUGUAGUGAAUAGUGUGAGAAACAUAAAGUUGGAAAGACUUAAAAUGUAUUAAUUCUAUUAUACUGGGUAAGUUCGUUGAACUCUUUAUAAUUAAAACAGAUGUAAUAAUAGAAGCUAAAUCACAAUAUUGCUGUGAUUAUCAAAUUAAAAAUACGGAGUAAAGUUCAUUGCACAUCUUAAAAUAAUAUAUAAAUGUUAGCUAUAAAAAGAAGAGAAAGGAUAAAAAAAGACAGGAAGAGAAUGAGAAGUAGGAAAAGUCAGGGGGGAUUUACAUGUUUUCAAGUACAUAUAUUCUUUUGAUUUGUUUUCACAGCAAGGUUAUUGGGGAGAUACAAUAGAUUUUAUUAGCCCCAUUUUAGAGGUAAGGAAGGUGAGCUUCACAGUGGUUAAAUGACUGUCACAUGGUCAUAUUGUCAGUAAUUAUCAGAGGUAUGAUUCAAC
Molecule: long non-coding RNA, 955 nt
Filed under: Monodelphis domestica (gray short-tailed opossum)
Lineage: Eukaryota; Metazoa; Chordata; Mammalia; Didelphimorphia; Didelphidae
Description: lncRNA (ENSMODG00000047508.1)
Source: RNAcentral